CCACCAAGGAUCCGAAAGGAACUGAGGUAAAAGCUGGCCUCUUCAUGAAAGCUAGCACUUAAGGAUGGGCCCGCGGUGCAUCAUGGUAGUUGGUGAGGUAAUGGCUCACCAAGCCUAAGACGCAUAGCUGGUCUGAGAGGAUGAUCAGCCACACUGGAACUGAGACACGGUCCAGACUCCUACGGGAGGCAGCAGUGGGGAAUCUUGCGCAAUGGGCGAAAGCCUGACGCAGCGACGCCGCGUGAGUGAUGAAGGCCUUCGGGUUGUAAAGCUCUGUGGGGAGAGAAGAAUUAGUGCAGGCUAAUCACUGCACGAUGACGGUAUCUCCUUAGCAAGCACCGGCUAACUCUGUGCCAGCAGCCGCGGUAAGACAGAGGGUGCAAACGUUGUUCGGAAUUACUGGGCGUAAAGCGUGUGUAGGCUGCUAUGCAAGUCGGGUGUGAAAUCCCUGGGCUCAACCCAGGAAGUGCACUCGAAACUGCAUGGCUUCGAGUACCGGA
This 500-nucleotide ribosomal RNA is filed under the name uncultured bacterium. RNAcentral's name for it is "bacterial SSU rRNA". It matches the Rfam family "Bacterial small subunit ribosomal RNA", at positions 173 to 653 of the family's 1533-position model. The record is from RNAcentral.